RNAcentral lists this ribosomal RNA (498 nucleotides) under uncultured bacterium. RNAcentral's name for it is "bacterial SSU rRNA". It matches the Rfam family "Bacterial small subunit ribosomal RNA", at positions 28 to 517 of the family's 1533-position model. The record is from RNAcentral.
GAUGAACGCUGGCGGCGUGCCUAACACAUGCAAGUCGAACGGACUUACAUUGAAGCCUAGCGAUAUGUAAGUUAGUGGCGGACGGGUGAGUAACGCGUGGGUAACCUGCCUUGUACUGGGGGACAACAGUUGGAAACGACUGCUAAUACCGCAUAAGCGCACAGCUUCGCAUGAAGCAGUGUGAAAAACUCCGGUGGUACAAGAUGGACCCGCGUCUGAUUAGCUGGUUGGUGAGGUAACGGCCCACCAAGGCGACGAUCAGUAGGGGUUCUGAGAGGAAGGUCCCCCACAUUGGAACUGAGACACGGUCCAAACUCCUACGGGAGGCAGCAGUGAGGAAUAUUGGUCAAUGGGCGAGAGCCUGAACCAGCCAAGUAGCGUGCAGGAUGACGGCCCUAUGGGUUGUAAACUGCUUUUAUAAGGGAAUAAAGUGAGUCUCGUGAGACUUUUUGCAUGUACCUUAUGAAUAAGGACCGGCUAAUUCCGUGCCAGCAGCCG